This is a long non-coding RNA of Helianthus annuus (common sunflower), 2185 nucleotides long. RefSeq lists it as uncharacterized. The transcript has 7 exons. NCBI's taxonomy places the organism in Eukaryota, Viridiplantae, Streptophyta, Magnoliopsida, Asterales, Asteraceae. The record is from RefSeq and is a predicted model, not a curated record.
CCAGCUCACUACCACCCACAUUCCCAUAUGUACUAUCAUCAAAACCUAAAAGCAGAUCCUUUCCAUCUUCACGUUCCUGCUCUCAUUUCUCUCACCUCCUCCGAGUUCUCUUUCAUUUUGGAAGAAACCCUAAACUGCAAAAUCGUGUCAUUGUAGUAUGAAAAUUAGAUGCUAGAUCUGGAACAGAUUUGGGUUUGCAGAGAGAACAAACUCCCUUUGGAUCCUUCUGUUGUUGCUUCUGCUGUUGAUGCUGUUGAUUAUAUCUCAUCUGAAAAUCUUAAACCCGUUUCGGAUCCGGUUGUUAAGUUCAAGCGUCUAAUGGAAGGACUGGAGUCAAAGGACUGGCUAAAGAUUUGCGAUUCGUUGAACGAUGUGAGUCAAAGGACUGGCUAAAGAUUUGUGUCAGAAUGGGUCAUUCUAAGAUGGGAGUGCUUUCAGAGGCAGUUGCGGGAAAUGCUUCAUCAUAGUGAUGAUGUAAAGGGAAGUGAAAUAAGGAGCCAAGUGCCUCGCUUUUACGCUAUCCAAAACGAUUUAGUUUAUUAAAUAAAAAUGAUUUGGGAUGUUAUAUGCAUUAAAACACACUUUGCAUGACUUUUGACCAGUUUCCUUUUUUUUCGCUUAAGAAGAAGCAGGUCGAAUGCUUUCUUGCUUAAAAAGAAACAGGUCGAAUGCAUUUUCGAUUAAAAAGAACCGGGUCGGAUGCAUUUUUGCUUAAAAAGAAGCAGCUCGAAUGGCUGAAACAGGUUGAAUGCUUUAUUGCUAAAAAAGAAGCGGGUCGAAUGCUUUAUCGCUAAAAAAGAAGCGGGUCGAAUGCUUUUUCGCUUAAAAAGAAACGAGUCGAAUGCUUUACCGCUUAAAAAGAAGCACGUUUGCCUACUAGAAAUCGGCAUUUCUGAUCUAGAUGCACCUGGAAAGCCAUUUUACAAUACAAACGCUACUGGUACUCUUAUCGAAUAACUAAAAAGACUCAUCGAGACUACAUAUGAUAGGAGGCUGAGCUUAAACCUGGUGGAUUUUUUGUUUUGAAAGAAAACCUUGCAAGAUCGGAUGGGAAGAGUACCGGGGAUAUGGACGGGUAUGUCGGCUUUCAGGCUGUUUUAAGGCGAUCUUAAAAUUGUUUCGUAGCAGAUCUCGCAAAACAAUUCAUGCAACUCGUUCGGCACUACUUGGAUUCAGUCGCAAGCCCGUAUUCUCAAGUUUGCUAUGAGACCGAUCUCUCAUAUGGGCCAGGCCCAAACUCUACUUUCAGAUACCAUACAUCAGCUACUUCAGCAUACCUCGAGUUAUCAGAUCAAGAAAACAUACCUCCAGAAAAUAAUAAUAACAAUAGGAUCAGGAAACGACAUCGGGAAAGCUUUUAAAAGCCGCAGGAGAAGCUUCGAUGACGGUUCCUGAGACACCGUCACCUGAUCAACCGCGUGACGGAAGUUUUGUUAUAAAAAAGGAACAUGGAAACAUCAUUGAAGGUGGAGCGAGAUAAUGGCAUCAUAGGAUGCAUAACAAUAACAACCAAGUGUUGAGUAAUGUUAGUCAAAAUGGUUCGCAAGCAGGGUCAACUUAUAGUGAGAUAUGCUCAUUGGCUGCACAACAUUUAGGGCUUAUACGUGAAGUUUUAGUCGAACGAAGUGUAACUUCAGCUUUGAAUUCAGGUUUUCUAACCCCAUACUGUGAACGUCUUAUGGUAGCAUUGGGACUGGAAUUAUUUACUGUAAAUGAUGAGAAAUUUAUGGAUAUGUUUGUUGCUCCUGGAGCGAUUGACAUUCUUCAGAAUGAACAACAGUCUCUUCAUAAGUGUCAGAAGAUACUACACUCUUGUUUGACUGAAUUUAAGUCGGUCGCAAGAUCCCUUUGACUGAAUUAAGUCAGUGACAGUGAAGUGGAAGCCAAUUCACUUGAGUUAUACGAGGAACCGUUUACUGAAGCUGAUAGAUAUGAUUUAUGGUCUGCGUGCAAGUUGAGUACAUGCGUGUGUAUGUUUUUGUCAUAAGCUUUGCUAGAGGAAGCUGAUAGAUGUGAUUUAUGGUCUGCGUGCAAGUUGAGUACAUCAGAUUGCUCCCGGACACAACUCAAGAGACUUUACGGUCAUUGGUGUUGAUGUGUAAUUUUCCCUAACUUGAAUAUUUAUUCUUGUUUUUAAAGCAAAGUUAUAGAUGUUCUCAUUAAAGCUAACAAAUUUGCUUUAAAA